CCUACGGGUGGCAGCAGUGAGGAAUAUUGGUCAAUGGACGAGAGUCUGAACCAGCCAAGUAGCGUGAAGGAUGACUGCCCUAUGGGUUGUAAACUUCUUUUAUAAAGGAAUAAAACGAGGCACGUGUGCCUUUUUGCAUGUACUUUAUGAAUAAGGAACGGCUAACUCCGUGCCAGCAGCCGCGGUAAUACGGAGGGUCCGAGCGUUAUCCGGAUUUAUUGGGUGUAAAGGGAGCGUAGGUGGGGUGUUAAGUCAGUUGUGAAAGUUUGCGGCUCAACCGUAAAAUUGCAAUUGAUACUGGCGGUCUUGAGUGCAGUUGAGGUAGGCGGAAUUCUUGGUGUAGCGGUGAAAUGCUUAGAUAUCACGAAGAACACCGAUUGCGAAGGCAGCUUACUAAUCUGUAACUGACGUUGAUGCUCGAAAGUGUGGGUAGCAAACAGGAUUAGAUACCCCUGUAGUC
RNAcentral lists this ribosomal RNA (460 nucleotides) under uncultured bacterium. RNAcentral describes it as "partial 16S ribosomal RNA". It matches the Rfam family "Bacterial small subunit ribosomal RNA", at positions 338 to 795 of the family's 1533-position model. The record is from RNAcentral.